GGGAAGCCUGGCAUGCUGCAGUCCAUGGGGUCACAAAGAGUCAGACACAGACAUACUCAGUGACUGAACAACAAUUGCUGGAUUCAACCUCAGGACUUCAGUUGCCUUAUUCAUUCAUUCAUUCAACAAAUAUGAUGAGCCCACACUGUGUGCUGAGUGCUGGGAAUAGAGCUGUGAACAAAACAGGCAUAAUCUUGCCUUCCUGGAGCUUUUAUGCUUUUUCUUUUUUUCAGUUCUACCAGUUUAUUGCUACCAACCCAUCUCCUUUCACUCUCUUGCGUGCGUGCUCAGUCAUGUAACCCUGUGGACUGCUACCCGCCAGGCUCCUCUGUCCAUGGACUUUUCCAGGCAAGAAUACUGGAAUGGGUUAUAACAUGUGAUUAUAUAGAAAUUAUAUAUGUGAGUUGGGAAAACAGACAUUAAAUAGGAGAAGUAAGUAAAAUAGCAUGUUAAGAGAGUGGAAAAGUCCUAUGGUGAAAAAGCAAAGCAGGAGAGGUAUCAGAAUUGUUCCAACCGGGGUUGCCGCUGAUGUUUUAGGGAACGUGUCCAGGAGAGGCUGCACUGAGAAGCUGGCAUCAAGUGAAGGCCUGAAGGAAGGCUCAUCUGCCAAAUGGGGGUCUGAAUAUUUCACAAAGCUGUGAGAAGCAGGUGGGGCAACGUGUGUGGAAGGCGUGCCCACAGGGACUUCUUCUAAAAUCGCCAUCCUUAAAACUUACUCUGAACAAGUCCAAGGUUAGAGUCUCUCUGAUGGCUUUGGAAACCAUCUCCCCUGUUACCUGCUUCCGGAGGGCAGCGCUGGUCCAGAGGGCGUCUCUAUGGGAAGCCUAGCUAGUCCCUUCCUCAAUUUCCUGCCUCCCUGCCCCCUCCCCUUUCCCCCAAGAGAUGACAGUCCCCGGGGAGGCUGGAGAGAACACCCCAGGGCAGGCCCGCACGAGUGUCACUUUUCCCUUAGUUUCCGUGGCCUCAGUGACAAUGCAAAGGAAGUGAUAAUGCAGAGGCGGCUCUUUAAUGAGAGGAGGUGACAGUGGUCAUGGGAGAGUUCCCCAUGAGAAAGAAGAGGAACUGUCUGGUGGAGGCACAAGCUGAAACUGGCUUGUAACCGCAGCCUCAGAGCUGAAGCUCGUUCAAGUUGUUGUGCCUUUUAGCAAUUGUCUUGGUACUGUUCCUGGUCAUUUGAUGGACCAGACAUCCUCAGGAAUGUCCAGGCUCCACCCUCUUUUGUGCCUAGUAGGUGCUUUUCUGCACUUAAAUGUCUAACACCCGCUCGAGCUUCCUACCCCCUGAGUUCAUCUGGAUGCUGGGCUCAGCUGUUUUCAGAAACCCAUAUAGUCUGCUGCAGAGAUAACCAUGUUCCUUGCGACCUUCACUGUCUCUUUAGAAUGUUGCAGGAAUGAGGAAAGGGUGGACUGUUUACCUUUUUGACUCCUGGUGGUUCCUGGUUAUACUGAUUCAGAAUUGCAGGGCCUGCUCCCCUCAAGAAAAACAGCCCAACCUUCUGUGUUCCCUUGGUUGUUGUUUAAAAGCUGUACCGGUCACAACAUAAACCGGUCUCUGUGUGACUGCCACCCCCACAUCCAGGUCCAGACAGCAGCUGAUGCUUUCCGUCCCAAAGCAAACAUCCCAGCCCAAAGCCAGGAAGCUGAUCCCACAGGCCAAAGGAGCUGCUCUCCCCGCAGCUGGCGAGUCACUGGAGGCUUGAUCGGGUGAGAGUUGCGGAGAAGAGCCAUCCAAGGAUCUGAUCCCUGAAAAAGACUUCCUGCUUGUAGCCACUCUGAAGGCACUGCGCACACACCGGUUGCAGGGGCUGUCAUCCAUUUCCCUGUCAGCAAAGUGGCUGGACUGGUAACCAGCCCUUCUUGGGAAGGACUGGAGAGGCAGGCAGGGUGGAGGAAGUCUCCAACUUCACCCCUGUCCUGGGCUCACUCUCAAGGCCCCUCUGUGAGUGAAGCUGGCUGGCAGGAAGGGGGAAGGAGCUGGGGGACCGGAUGUGGUUACUCUGCAAGACCCUGUUCUGCUACAGGAUCAAAAAAAUGAUUGUAAAACACACUCGUGUUACAGUGCAACAGACCUGUAGCUAUGAAAGUUGUGUGUGUGUGCAUGUAGGUGUUUUCCUGGGUAUUAUUAUGUGGGCCCUGUGGUCAAUGACCAUUUAGUGUGAUCAGUAGUUUAUCAAGAAAGAGAGUCAUAUCUCAGUUGUACUUUUUUGUUGGGGCUACCAGAACAAAUUAUUACGGACUUAGGGGUUAGAUGGACUUUGGUGCUAGAAAAGAUUCUUGAGAGUCCCUUGGACAGCAAAGAGAUCAAACCAGUCAAUCC
Molecule: long non-coding RNA, 2316 nt
Filed under: Capra hircus (goat)
Lineage: Eukaryota; Metazoa; Chordata; Mammalia; Artiodactyla; Bovidae
Description: lncRNA (ENSCHIG00010006912.1)
Source: RNAcentral